This 460-nucleotide ribosomal RNA is filed under the name uncultured bacterium. Its description in RNAcentral is "partial 16S ribosomal RNA". It matches the Rfam family "Bacterial small subunit ribosomal RNA", at positions 338 to 795 of the family's 1533-position model. The record is from RNAcentral.
CCUACGGGUGGCUGCAGUGAGGAAUAUUGGUCAAUGGGCGCGAGUCUGAACCAGCCAAGUAGCGUGAAGGAUGACUGCCCUACGGGUUGUAAACUGCUUUUAUAAAGGGAUAAAGUGAGUCACGUGUGGCUUAUUGUAGGUACUGUAUGAAUAAGGAUCGGCUAAUUCCGUGCCAGCAGCCGCGGUAAUACGGAGGGUCCGAGCGUUAUCCGGAUUUAUUGGGUUUAAAGGGAGCGUAGAUGGGUUGUUAAGUCAGUUGUGAAAGGUUGCGGCUCAACCGUAAAAUUGCAGUUGAUACUGGCGGUCUUGAGUACAGCUGAGGUAGGCGGAAUUCGUGGUGUAGCGGUGAAAUGCUUAGAUAUCACGAAGAACUCCGAUUGCGAAGGCAGCUUACUAAACUGCCACUGACACUGAUGCUCGAAAGUGUGGGUAUCAAACAGGAUUAGAUACCCCUGUAGUC